This 347-nucleotide unclassified non-coding RNA is filed under the name soil metagenome. RNAcentral's name for it is "partial contains 5.8S ribosomal RNA, internal transcribed spacer 2, and large subunit ribosomal RNA". The stretch from base 1 to 119 matches the Rfam family "5.8S ribosomal RNA", at positions 35 to 154 of the family's 154-position model. The record is from RNAcentral.
GAUGAAGACGUAGCGAAAUGCGAUAAGUAAUGUGAAUUGCAGAAUUCAGUGAAUCAUCGAAUCUUUGAACGCACAUUGCGCCCAUCAGUAUUCUGUUGGGCAUGCCUGUCCGAGCGUCAUUUCAACCCUCAGGGCCCGUUCGCGGGAACUGGUGUUGGGGAUCGGCCUCCCCCCGGAGGCCGGCCCCGAAAUGCAGUGGCGGCUCUACCGCGAUCUCCUCUGUGUAGUAGCGAUACCUCGCAGCUGGAUAGUGGUGGUGCCACGCCGUAAAAUCCCAACUUUACCAAGGUUGACCUCGGAUCAGGUAGGAAUACCCGCUGAACUUAAGCAUAUCAAUAAGCGGAGGA